This 600-nucleotide ribosomal RNA is filed under the name uncultured bacterium. RNAcentral describes it as "bacterial SSU rRNA". It matches the Rfam family "Bacterial small subunit ribosomal RNA", at positions 57 to 653 of the family's 1533-position model. The record is from RNAcentral.
GCAGUCGAGCGGUAGAGAGGUGCUUGCACCUCUUGAGAGCGGCGGACGGGUGAGUAAAGCCUAGGAAUCUGCCUGGUAGUGGGGGAUAACGCUCGGAAACGGACGCUAAUACCGCAUACGUCCUACGGGAGAAAGCAGGGGACCUUCGGGCCUUGCGCUAUCAGAUGAGCCUAGGUCGGAUUAGCUAGUUGGUGAGGUAAUGGCUCACCAAGGCGACGAUCCGUAACUGGUCUGAGAGGAUGAUCAGUCACACUGGAACUGAGACACGGUCCAGACUCCUACGGGAGGCAGCAGUGGGGAAUAUUGGACAAUGGGCGAAAGCCUGAUCCAGCCAUGCCGCGUGUGUGAAGAAGGUCUUCGGAUUGUAAAGCACUUUAAGUUGGGAGGAAGGGCAUUAACCUAAUACGUUAGUGUUUUGACGUUACCGACAGAAUAAGCACCGGCUAACUCUGUGCCAGCAGCCGCGGUAAUACAGAGGGUGCAAGCGUUAAUCGGAAUUACUGGGCGUAAAGCGCGCGUAGGUGGUUCGUUAAGUUGGAUGUGAAAUCCCCGGGCUCAACCUGGGAACUGCAUUCAAAACUGUCGAGCUAGAGUAUGGUA